RNAcentral lists this long non-coding RNA (386 nucleotides) under Homo sapiens (human). RNAcentral describes it as "non-protein coding lnc-SLC10A6-5:2". The record is from RNAcentral. Lineage: Eukaryota; Metazoa; Chordata; Mammalia; Primates; Hominidae.
AGAGAGCGUACCGGGAGCUGGUCCUCAUGAAGUGUGUGAACCAUAAAAACAUUAUUAGUUUAUUAAAUGUCUUCACACCCCAGAAAACGCUGGAGGAGUUCCAAGAUGUGUAAGUAACAAAACUCAUGAAGGAAGGGAGAGCACAGCACUCAGAUAGCCCAAGGGAAAAUCACACACCACACACACACACACACACACACACACACACACACACACACAGAGUUGAAAUCCCUUAUACUGCUCAAAGAGAGGUAAGAGGUGGGGUCAAAUGAAAGGGGUCCAGUGAUAUGUAAAGAAGAUUCUGUUUGUGGGGUUACUUCCUGGAAAGACAUUCUGCCUCCUUUUGGCCUUGUGGCUUUAUAUACUUUGUUGUUCCAUGCUCUUGG